GCCGGGUUGGGGUAGCUGGCAACCUUCGGCCCUGUGACGGACGAGCAGCGAGUUCGAGUCUCGCACCCGGCC
Molecule: transfer RNA, 72 nt
Filed under: Haloarcula onubensis
Lineage: Archaea; Methanobacteriati; Methanobacteriota; Halobacteria; Halobacteriales; Haloarculaceae
Description: tRNA-His
Source: RNAcentral